Molecule: ribosomal RNA, 679 nt
Filed under: Agromyces sp.
Lineage: Bacteria; Bacillati; Actinomycetota; Actinomycetes; Micrococcales; Microbacteriaceae
Description: bacterial SSU rRNA
Rfam family: Bacterial small subunit ribosomal RNA
Source: RNAcentral
UGGCGGGCGUGCUUAACACAUGCAAGUCGAACGAUGAACUUGGAGCUUGCUCUGGGGGAUUAGUGGCGAACGGGUGAGUAACACGUGAGUAACCUGCCCUGGACUCUGGGAUAACUUCGAGAAAUCGGAGCUAAUACCGGAUAGGACCUUGCACCGCAUGGUGUGGGGUGGAAAGUUUUUCGGUUUGGGAUGGACUCGCGGCCUAUCAGCUUGUUGGUGAGGUAAUGGCUCACCAAGGCGUCGACGGGUAGCCGGCCUGAGAGGGUGACCGGCCACACUGGGACUGAGACACGGCCCAGACUCCUACGGGAGGCAGCAGUGGGGAAUAUUGCACAAUGGGCGCAAGCCUGAUGCAGCAACGCCGCGUGCGGGAUGACGGCCUUCGGGUUGUAAACCGCUUUUAGUAGGGAAGAAGCCUUCGGGUGACGGUACCUGCAGAAAAAGGACCGGCUAACUACGUGCCAGCAGCCGCGGUAAUACGUAGGGUCCGAGCGUUGUCCGGAAUUAUUGGGCGUAAAGAGCUCGUAGGCGGUUUGUCGCGUCUGCUGUGAAAACUAGAGGCUCAACCUCUAGCCUGCAGUGGGUACGGGCAGACUUGAGUGGUGUAGGGGAGACUGGAAUUCCUGGUGUAGCGGUGGAAUGCGCAGAUAUCAGGAGGAACACCGAUGGCGAAGGCAGG